AAAAACCUCUGCUCAACCGGAGAAUUGCAUCAGAAACUGUUGAACUUGAGUGCAGAAGAGGAGAGUGGAACUCCAUGUGUAGCGGUGGAGUGCGUAGAUAUAUGGAAGAACACCAGUGGCGAAGGCGGCUCUCUGGUCUGCAACUGACGCUGAGGCUCGAAAGCAUGGGUAGCGAACA
Molecule: ribosomal RNA, 178 nt
Filed under: uncultured bacterium
Lineage: Bacteria
Description: partial 16S ribosomal RNA
Rfam family: Bacterial small subunit ribosomal RNA
Source: RNAcentral